UAUGUCCUACGGGGCGCAGCAGUGAGGAAUAUUGGUCAAUGGGCGGGAGCCUGAACCAGCCAAGUCGCGUGAGGGAAGACGGUGCUAUGGAUUGUAAACCUCUUUAGGCGGGGAGCAAUGCCGGGCACGCGUGUCCGAAGGGAGAGUACCCGCAGAAUAAGCAUCGGCUAACUCCGUGCCAGCAGCCGCGGUAAUACGGAGGAUGCGAGCGUUAUCCGGGUUUAUUGGGUUUAAAGGGUGCGUAGGCGGAUUUUUAAGUCAGCGGUAAAAUGUGCGGGCUCAACCCG
Molecule: ribosomal RNA, 287 nt
Filed under: uncultured bacterium
Lineage: Bacteria
Description: partial 16S ribosomal RNA
Rfam family: Bacterial small subunit ribosomal RNA
Source: RNAcentral